Molecule: ribosomal RNA, 578 nt
Filed under: Rudaea sp. RDB-045
Lineage: Bacteria; Pseudomonadati; Pseudomonadota; Gammaproteobacteria; Lysobacterales; Rhodanobacteraceae
Description: bacterial SSU rRNA
Rfam family: Bacterial small subunit ribosomal RNA
Source: RNAcentral
ACGGGUGAGGAAUACAUCGGAAUUUGCCCUGUCGUGGGGGAUAACGUAGGGAAACUUACGCUAAUACCGCAUACGACCUAACGGUGAAAGCGGGGGAUCGCAAGACCUCGCGCGGCUGGAGAAGCCGAUGUCAGAUUAGCUAGUUGGCGGGGUAAUGGCCCACCAAGGCGACGAUCUGUAGCUGGUCUGAGAGGAUGAUCAGCCACACUGGGACUGAGACACGGCCCAGACUCCUACGGGAGGCAGCAGUGGGGAAUAUUGGACAAUGGGCGCAAGCCUGAUCCAGCAAUGCCGCGUGUGUGAAGAAGGCCUUCGGGUUGUAAAGCACUUUUAUCAGGAGCGAAAUCUGCAGGGCUAAUACCCAUGCAGUCUGACGGUACCUGAGGAAUAAGCACCGGCUAACUUCGUGCCAGCAGCCGCGGUAAUACGAAGGGUGCAAGCGUUACUCGGAAUUACUGGGCGUAAAGCGUGAGUAGGUGGUUUCUUAAGUCUGCUGUGAAAGCCCCGGGCUCAACCUGGGAAUUGCAGUGGAUACUGGGGAGCUAGAGUGCGGUAGAGGGUAGUGGAAUUCCCGGUGU